RNAcentral lists this ribosomal RNA (504 nucleotides) under uncultured bacterium. Its description in RNAcentral is "bacterial SSU rRNA". It matches the Rfam family "Bacterial small subunit ribosomal RNA", at positions 79 to 597 of the family's 1533-position model. The record is from RNAcentral.
CUUGCUCUCUGGAUCAGUGGCGAACGGGUGAGUAACACGUGAGCAAUCUGCCCCUGACUCUGGGAUAAGCGCUGGAAACGGCGUCUAAUACCGGAUACGAGCUGCGAAGGCAUCUUCAGCAGCUGGAAAGAACUUCGGUCAGGGAUGAGCUCGCGGCCUAUCAGCUAGUUGGUGAGGUAAUGGCUCACCAAGGCGUCGACGGGUAGCCGGCCUGAGAGGGUGACCGGCCACACUGGGACUGAGACACGGCCCAGACUCCUACGGGAGGCAGCAGUGGGGAAUAUUGCACAAUGGGCGCAAGCCUGAUGCAGCAACGCCGCGUGAGGGACGACGGCCUUCGGGUUGUAAACCUCUUUUAGCAGGGAAGAAGCGAAAGUGACGGUACCUGCAGAAAAAGCGCCGGCUAACUACGUGCCAGCAGCCGCGGUAAUACGUAGGGCGCAAGCGUUAUCCGGAAUUAUUGGGCGUAAAGAGCUCGUAGGCGGUUUGUCGCGUCUGCUGUGA